UACGUAGGGGGCAAGCGUUGUCCGGAAUCAUUGGGCGUAAAGAGCGCGUAGGCGGCCCUGUAAGUCCGCUGUGAAAGUCAAGGGCUCAACCCUUGAAUGCCGGUGGAUACUGCAGGGCUAGAGUCCGGAAGAGGCGAGUGGAAUUCCUGGUGUAGCGGUGAAAUGCGCAGAUAUCGGGAAGAACACCAGUGGCGAAGG
RNAcentral lists this ribosomal RNA (198 nucleotides) under uncultured prokaryote. RNAcentral describes it as "partial 16S ribosomal RNA". It matches the Rfam family "Bacterial small subunit ribosomal RNA", at positions 524 to 721 of the family's 1533-position model. The record is from RNAcentral.